Acanthosepion pharaonis is the source of this 113-nucleotide non-coding RNA. NCBI's taxonomy places the organism in Eukaryota, Metazoa, Mollusca, Cephalopoda, Sepiida, Sepiidae. The record is from the annotation of a GenBank genome assembly.
UGACGGCCAUAUCACGUUGAAACACCGGUUCUCGCUAGAUCACCGAAGUAAGGCAAUAUUAUGCUUGGUUAGUACUGAUAUGGGUGAACCCUUGAGAGUACCAGCUACUGUAA